Molecule: ribosomal RNA, 258 nt
Filed under: uncultured bacterium
Lineage: Bacteria
Description: partial 16S ribosomal RNA
Rfam family: Bacterial small subunit ribosomal RNA
Source: RNAcentral
GUAAAACGUAGGAGGCGGGCGUUAUCCGGAUUUACUGGGUGUAAAGCGCGUGUAGGCGGUCGUGCAAGUGGUGCGUGAAAGCGCCCGGCUCAACCGGGCGAGGACGUGUCCGAACUGCGCGACUAGAGGUAGGUAGAGGCGUGUGGAAUUCCGGGUGUAGUGGUGAAAUGCGUAGAGAUCCGGAGGAACACCAGUGGCGAAGGCGACACGCUGGGCCUGACCUGACGCUGAGAGGCGAAAGCAUGGGGAGCGAAUGGG